Molecule: long non-coding RNA, 872 nt
Organism: Myotis brandtii (Brandt's bat)
Lineage: Eukaryota; Metazoa; Chordata; Mammalia; Chiroptera; Vespertilionidae
Exons: 2
Source: RefSeq, a predicted model, not a curated record
CCCAGGUCCACCCAGCUGCGCGCGGUGGGGAGUGGGGGGUGCGAGUCCCCUCUUGGCGCUGACACCUGCACGCAAGGGGCGUGAAGACACUCGGAUCCGCGCCAAGCCCUUGCGGUGAGUCCCUCUUGGGGUGCGUCCCACGGCCCCAGAAGCUGGGUAGUGGGGUUAGGUCUCCACCCACCUGCGUCCCCUCCUGCCCAGGGCUCUCACCGCACCCCCACCUUCUGUGCACGGGGGCCUGGAGAAGAAUAGGGAAUGUGUAAGUCGGGGCAUUUAAAAGCGGCUUUAUUGUGGUGUGGUUGGUAUACAAGAAACCACACAUCUAAAUUUGGUGAGAAUAACAACCUUACAGUGGAGAAACCACCUGACUCUGUGGCCAAGGUUAAAUCCUCAGUAAUAGGACAGACAGCCAUCAUGUAGCCUCUUGAUGCGAUGGACUGAGAAAGACCCAGCAUCACUUUGUGGUGUUCUUGCCCCAAAUGCACAAUCUGCCAUCGUGAGAACACUCCGGACUCACAUCGAAAGACGGCUACAAAGGACUGAUCAGUACGCUCCACAAAUGAAGGAAGCGGUCGUAAAAGACAAGAAAGGCCCGAGUCACUGUUACGGACUGGAAAAGACGAAGGAGAAAUAGCUAAAUGCAGUGUGGGCCCUCGAAUAGACAAGGACGUUCGUGGAAAAACGAGUGACACUGACCAAGGCCGGUGGUUCCGGGUCCUGCUUUCCCACGGAUGACGUCCUGCUUCAAAGCUCUUGUGAAGGGAUAAUUGGGGCAGUUGGGCGCCAGUCUGUCUGCCUCUCUUUCUUCCCCUUUGAUCCUGGGUCCUCUUUUCCUGACUUCCCUUGCAUUGAACAUUUUUUGGUCCAUUUUC